UUCUUCCCAACUUCCCAGAGCCCUCCCUUCUCUCAACCUCUCCUUCUCAGCCACCUUCCCUUCCCUCAAACUCUCGACCACCCGCCCUCUCCAGGGUGGCGCCAAAAUGUCAGCCACAGCCGCUUCCAGCUACGCUUUAGCUUUAGCCGAUGUGGCUAAGUCCAACAACACCCUGGACUCCACCAGCUCCGACAUUGAACAAGUCGAGAAAAUCUUCUCUGACCCUCAAGUCAUCGACUUCUUCGCCAACCCCACCAUCGACGCUAUCAAAAAACGUCAGGUUUUGGAUGAUAUAGUCAAGUCUUCCGGGCUUCAGCCUCACACUGCAAACUUUUUAAACAUCCUGGUGGAUGCCAAGAGGAUUGACAUUAUUAAGGAAAUUGUGAAAGAGUUCGAGUCGGU
This 402-nucleotide long non-coding RNA is filed under the name Theobroma cacao (cacao). Its description in RNAcentral is "long non-coding RNA (TCAC_LNC004353)". Lineage: Eukaryota; Viridiplantae; Streptophyta; Magnoliopsida; Malvales; Malvaceae. The record is from RNAcentral.